This 253-nucleotide unclassified non-coding RNA is filed under the name uncultured Eubacteriales bacterium. Its description in RNAcentral is "contains 16S-23S intergenic spacer region". It matches the Rfam family "Bacterial small subunit ribosomal RNA", at positions 524 to 776 of the family's 1533-position model. Lineage: Bacteria; Bacillati; Bacillota; Clostridia; Eubacteriales. The record is from RNAcentral.
UACGUAGGGGGCAGGCGUUAUCCGGAUUUACUGGGUGUAAAGGGAGCGUAGACGGUGAUGCAAGUCUGGAGUGAAAUGCAGGGGCCCAACCCCGGGACUGCUUUGGAAACUGUGUAGCUAGAGUACAGGGGGGGCAGGCGGAAUUCCUGGUGUAGCGGUGAAAUGCGUAGAUAUCAGGAGGAACACCGGCGGCGAAGGCGGCCUGCUGGACUGAAACUGACGUUGAGGCUCGAAAGCGUGGGGAGCAAACAGG